This 326-nucleotide ribosomal RNA is filed under the name uncultured eukaryote. Its description in RNAcentral is "partial 18S ribosomal RNA". It matches the Rfam family "Eukaryotic small subunit ribosomal RNA", at positions 1470 to 1796 of the family's 1831-position model. The record is from RNAcentral.
CCCUUAGAUGUUCUGGGCUGCACGCGCGCUACACUGAUGCGCUCAACGAGUUUAUGACCUUGCCCGGAAGGGUUGGGUAAUCUUUUCAAAACGCAUCGUGAUGGGGAUAGAUUAUUGCAAUUAUUAAUCUUCAACGAGGAAUUCCUAGUAAGCGCGAGUCAUCAGCUCGUGCUGAUUACGUCCCUGCCCUUUGUACACACCGCCCGUCGCUCCUACCGAUUGAGUGGUCCGGUGAAUAAUUCGGACUGCGGCAAUGUUCAGCUCCUGAAUGUUGCUGCGGAAAGUUUAGUGAACCUUAUCACUUAGAGGAAGGAGAAGUCGUAACA